UGAAUACGAGACGCUACGGCGUCGAAGCAGUCUAUGUCAUACUUCCAAGAAAAGCUCGCAAUGUCAUAAACAAAUAAUGCCUGUACCAUAACCGACACAGGUGGGUAGGUAGAGUAUACUAAGGGGCGCGAGAUAACUCUCUCUAAGGAACUCGGCAAAAUGACUCCGUAACUUCGGGAGAAGGAGUGCCUUAUUUAUAAGGUUGCAAUAACAAGAUCCAAGCAACUGUUUAUCAAAAACACAGGUCUCCGCUAAGUCGUAAGACGAUGUAUGGGGGCUGACGCCUGCCCAGUGCCAGAAGGUUAAAGAAGUUGGUUAGCAUUCGCGAAGCUGAUAACUGAAGCCCUGGUGAACGGCGGCCGUAACAAUAACGGUCCUAAGGUAGCGAAAUUCCUUGUCGGGUAAGUUCCAACCCGCACGAAAGGCGUAAUGAUUUGGAUACUGUCUCGGAGAGGGGCUCGGUGAAAUAGACUUGUCUGUGAAGAUGCGGACUACCUGCACCUGGACAGAAAGACCCUAUGAAGCUUUACUGUAACUUGAAAUUGAGAUUGGACUUUAUUUGCGCAGCAUAGGUGGGAGGCGUUGAGAGUAUUCUUGCGGGAAUAUUGGAGCCAUCAGUGAGAUACCACUCUUGUAAUGUUAGAUUUCUAACUUUGGAUCAUUAUCUGGUCAAAGAACAGUUUCAGGCGGGCAGUUUGACUGGGGCGGUCGCCUCCCAAAUGGUAACGGAGGCGUACAAAGGUUUCCUCUGAACGGGUAGAAAUCGUAUCUAGAGUGUAAAGGCAUAAGGAAGCUUGACUGUGAGACCUACAAGUCGAGCAGGGACGAAAGUCGGUCUUAGUGAUCUGACGGUGCUGAGUGGAAAGGCCGUCACUCAACGGAUAAAAGUUACUCUAGGAUAACAGGCUGAUCUCCCCCAAGAGUUCACAUCGACGGGGAGGUUUGGCACCUCGAUGUCGGCUCAUCGCAUCCUGGGGCGGUAGUACGUCCCAAGGGUUGGGCUGUUCGCCCAUGAAAGCGGUACGCGAGCUGGGUUCAGAACGUCGUGAGACAGUUCGGUCCAUAUCCGGUGUAGGCGUUAGAAUAUUGAGAGGAGCCUUCUUUAGUACGAGAGGACCGAGAAGGACAUACCUCUGGUGUACCAGUUAUCGUGCCAACGGUAAACGCUGGGUAGCUAUGUAUGGAGAGGAUAACCGCUGAAAGCAUCUAAGUGGGAAGCCCACCUCAAGAUAAGUAUUCUCAUG
This 1244-nucleotide ribosomal RNA is filed under the name metagenome. RNAcentral's name for it is "bacterial LSU rRNA". It matches the Rfam family "Bacterial large subunit ribosomal RNA", at positions 1564 to 2818 of the family's 2925-position model. The record is from RNAcentral.